AAGUCGUAACAAGGUUUCCGUAGGUGAACCUGCGGAAGGAUCAUUAAUGAAUUUAAGAGUGCUCUAUUCAAUUAGAGGCUCGACCUUCAUUUUCUACACUGUGAACUUUAUAAUAUCGGCAGUUUGGUAGUCUGGCAUCUAAUGCCUUACGACUCUGUUGAUUCACCUUCAAAACUCUAAAAGUCAAAGAAUGUAACAAACAUAAACAAAACAAAA
Molecule: unclassified non-coding RNA, 216 nt
Filed under: plant metagenome
Description: partial contains small subunit ribosomal RNA and internal transcribed spacer 1
Rfam family: Eukaryotic small subunit ribosomal RNA (bases 1-46)
Source: RNAcentral